RNAcentral lists this long non-coding RNA (3512 nucleotides) under Panax ginseng (ginseng). RNAcentral describes it as "long non-coding RNA (PGIN_LNC010099)". Lineage: Eukaryota; Viridiplantae; Streptophyta; Magnoliopsida; Apiales; Araliaceae. The record is from RNAcentral.
UCGACUGACUUAGUUUUAUACCUCUUCUUCCAAAUUUCAGGGCACUUAAUUUUCCCCUCUCCCUCUUCCCCGACCUAUUCACCGGUGGUACUAUCUUGCAUCUCUUACCGACGGCGGCUACUAAACUUUUUUCCCUCUUCAUUUUCGUCUUCGUCGCACGCACAAUUACUAGGUAUAUACAAUUUCUGCGAUUUAAGCAAUUUGGGCGAUUUGUGCCUGUUUUUCUAGAAUCUUCACAACUAAAACCCUUAUCGCCAUGUCCGCUUCUUCCAGCUUCAUUCAGACUAUUGUUCCUCUAUCUGGUUCUAAGCGGAUUAAAACUCUUUUCAAUGGCGGACUUUAAUUCCUCCUCACAGUUCCAGAAAGUUCAGAUUCAACGAGAUGGCACUGUACUCUAAGCUUUGCUCUUCAAUAUUCUUUUCUCCUCAUUUCUGCCAUAUAUUUACCUUAUGUAUAUUAUUUUCAAAAUAUAAAUCUUUACAUGUUUUGAGAAUUUAAUGGUGAAUUUGUUCCGAUAGUCAUAGCUCAUACAGAGAGAAAAUAUUGUGUAUUACCUCAGAAUUAGGCUGAUUUCAAUAGAUUAGGUUUUAGACAAAUAUAAGAUUCAAUUGUAAUUAACCCUAAUUUUCAAUUGAUUGAUCAGCCAAAAAAUAUAGAAACAUCUAGUAAAUGAAGAUUUUAUCAGGUUGAUUAAUACUAAUAAUAGUAUAAAAAAUUAUCCUUUAUUUAUGUAUAGCUCUGUCUUAGUAAAAUUUUAUCAUUAGGUAAAAAGAUUGUUUGCUUGUGGAUGAAGGAGUUUACUGCAAUUAUCAACAUAUGCAGGUGCCAUCACGAUUGGGAACGAUGUUGAUAUUAUUGUGUGGGAGCCAAAGUGGAGUUUGACCUCGAUGAUAAUCAUCCAUCCUAUAUACCUUAAGCAUCAUGUAUGUGCUCUUUUAUAUCUAUCCUCUUUGUUUCUCAUUUACUUCAUUAGAGUGGUUGAUGGUAUGUCUUAUAAAAUAUGCUGAAGUCUAGUUGGUUAAGCAAUGUGUUUUAGCAUAGAAAUGAUUAAGAACUUAUAUUAAUGAAUAAGCAACUGGUCUAUGCAGUGAUCAAGUUAAUAUUUGAAUACAUUCAACUUGAUCUCUAUGUUUUCACAAUUCUUAUUUUCUUUAUUAUAUCAGUGACACAUAACAAAUGCUUAAUGAUAGAAAAGUAGAUGAGUUGUCAGAAUGCAAUUUGGUUAUUGGUUUGUUAUAGUAUGUGAGCAUUUCUGCUAAUAAAAAUGGAGACAGGAUAUCGGUUGGACAUGUCAAAUAGCAUAUUUAUAUUUCAGUUAUUUCGUAGUUUACACAGAUUCAUUCCUCUAUACCCUUUCAAGCAUCUUCUAUACAAUCAACUAGAAUUUUGGGUACACACAGGGUAUUUUACAUUCUAUUAAGAUAAAUAUCUCACAAGGCUAAACUGCAUCUUAUUUAAAUAAUUACACAAAUUAGGUCUGCAGUUGGCAUCCCAAGCUGCUUAGGAUUUUCUUGGCCAAUGGCCUUUCAACAUUCAAAUGUGCAACUGCCCACUAGCAAACUGCCUGCAAAUGUGUUUCACCCAUGUUCUACAAUUCAAACCUAAGACUUGUCAGCAUGUGUGUGGAGGUUGGCUGAGUCAGUAACUGCCCACCAAUUUAGUUAGUUAGCUCACAUUCUUUGUUGUCUCAGCCCACAAAUUUACCCAACAUGUGUCACAAUGCUUUAUCCAUCCAGCCCACACGAAAAUCCAACUAGGCCAAGCACUUGCCUAGGGUAAGGUGGUGCCCACUAUAAACAUGCCCACACACAGUAAUGUUCCUGCCCAAUCAUGCCCAGCCCAUGAAAGGGUCUUUAAUCCAAUCCAAGCUACCAAUCUGUAUGCUAGCAUUAUUGUUAGGGGAGUCCAACAAUGUCCUAAUGACCCGCACACAUAGGCCAUGACAGCCCACCCAUGGCCUAGGUGGAUCACCCCUCCCCUAUAGUAGACAUUAAGAAAAUAUUCUAAGUGUCACCAACAAACAUCAAAUCAAACAUCAGAUAUGUUUGAGGAAUUAUAAUGUAUACCCCCUGAAUAUACUAGUUUUGGUCAGCGCUCAUAUCUGUCGCACAAUGCCUCAAGUUGUCGCACAAAUUGAGUGUCAAAGCUGUCUUGCCCCACACGAAAUGAAGUGUUGGCAUGUUGUCUGGCCAUCCAACAUAUGAAGUCGUGUCAACCCACUAAGGGGAUAACAGUGACUUGUAUAACUACAACUGGAGAUUUAAAGGAAGGUAUGUUUUUAUUUUUAUUUUGUCCGUAAAUUGCAGACAGGUAGUUUAGUAGAUGAUACAUCUGGUAAGUCAAUAGAUUAACCUCAGGUUAUGACAUGCCAUCUGACUCUAAGCUUUCUAGUUUACUGGUAUUAUGUUAUGUUUAAUAUUCACCGUAUAAUGUUUUGAGCAGGGUAAGUUACUACAAAGAUUAAAUAUUGAUAAUGGGCUCUAGAGAUUGGUUCAAAAAUAUAAUCCGCUUAAAGAAAGAGGAGAAUGGGAAGACAAAAUCACUAAAGGUACCUGUGAAUGGAUCAACUUUUUGCAAUUUAUUACCAAUCUAUCAUGCUAUUUCUUUUUUCUUCUUUUUUCUUUCAGGAUCUUGGGGGUUUGGGGGUAGGUUUGGUGCCUGAAUGUGUUUACAUGUAUGAAAUGAAACUUGUCUUUUUGCUGAUGUAAUAUAUGAGGUGAAAUUAUUAUUGUUUCUUACAAUGAUUCUUAUUGUGGCUAGAGAAGUGCCAGGUAUAAGGCAUUUACAAUCUGUGAUUCAACUCCUUAUUUAGCAUGUGCAUUCAUCUCAAUGCUAUAGUCUACGCUUAGUUUCUAUAUAGUUCAUAAUGAUUCCAUGUAAUGAUAACAAAGCUUAUGUGAAAUACCUGUCAUGUUCUCUUUUUCAUUCGGACCCAUAUAGGCCUCCAUGAACACAAGUCAUUUUCUCGUUGUGGUUCUAAAUGGUGCUGCAAUGUCUUUCGUAGGAUAUCUUAUGGUUAGUAAACUUGGAAUCACUACAGGAUUGAUUUUUUAUUUGUUUUUUUCUUUGUACAGGGAUCUUCAGCACCUCAAAAUUCAAUUGGGAUCAAUAAGGACCCCACUCUCAGAAAGAGUCCACUGCUCUUGCUAACGGUAAUUCUAAUGAAAAUCCUGUGGCUCUUCCGAUGCUAGAUGAGGAUAUAGCAGCGAUUAGGAUUCAAAGUGCAUUUCUAGUAUAUAGGGUAAAUCGUGUUGCGAGUUAUGCUUGCUACUGCUAUCUUGUUUCUUACAACACUAAUUCAAAACUUAAAAAGUAUAAAGAAUUUUAUAGCGGGUGCUUAGUUUGUCCCAUCAGAUAUCUUUAUUCAUUUGGUAAUGUCUUACAUUAUGUAUUUCUGCUGUUAAUGAUUUUAGUAUGAUAUUAGAAUUUUAUAGCGGGUGCUUAGCUUGUCCCUUGGGACGCGAAUAUUUAUAUUAUAUCAAUGUAAAUUAUUCUAUUAUUUCUGUUGUUAA